This 419-nucleotide long non-coding RNA is filed under the name Coturnix japonica (Japanese quail). Its description in RNAcentral is "lncRNA (ENSCJPG00005001823.1)". The record is from RNAcentral. Lineage: Eukaryota; Metazoa; Chordata; Aves; Galliformes; Phasianidae.
AUAGGCCCCAAUAGAACCCUAUGGACCCCAAUAGAACCCUAUGGGACCCCAAUAGAACCCUAUAGGCCCAAAUAGAACCUAUGGACCCAAUAGACCGCCCAUGAACCCAAUGGACCCCAAUAGACCAAUGGACCCCAAUAGACACCAAUGGAACCCAAUGGAACCCAAUGGACCCCAAUAGACCCCAAUAGACCCCAAUGGAACCCAAUAGAACCCAAUGGACCCCAAUGGACCCCAAUGGAACCCAAUGGACCCCAGUAGACCCCAAUGGACCCCAACAGACCCCAAUGGACCCCAAUGGACCCCAACAGAUCCCAAUGGACCCCAGUGGAACCCAAUGGACCCCAGUAGGACCCCAAUGGAACCCAAUGGACCCCAGAUAGAACCCAUAGACCCCAAUAGAACCCUUAUGGACCCCA